GCACUGCCGAGGAGUCACACAAUAAGACGAAACGGCCGUCCAGUGC
RNAcentral lists this non-coding RNA (46 nucleotides) under Schistosoma mansoni. Lineage: Eukaryota; Metazoa; Platyhelminthes; Trematoda; Strigeidida; Schistosomatidae. The record is from RNAcentral.